This 379-nucleotide ribosomal RNA is filed under the name uncultured cyanobacterium. Its description in RNAcentral is "bacterial SSU rRNA". It matches the Rfam family "Bacterial small subunit ribosomal RNA", at positions 376 to 770 of the family's 1533-position model. The record is from RNAcentral. Lineage: Bacteria; Bacillati; Cyanobacteriota.
CGAAAGCCUGACGGAGCAAUGCCGCGUGGAGGUGGAAGGCCUACGGGUCGUCAACUUCUUUUCUCGGAGAAGAAACAAUGACGGUAUCUGAGGAAUAAGCAUCGGCUAACUCUGUGCCAGCAGCCGCGGUAAGACGGAGGAUGCAAGCGUUAUCCGGAAUCAUUGGGCGUAAAGCGUCCGCAGGUGGCUAAUCAAGUCCGCUGUUAAAGACAGAAGCUCAACUUCUGAUAGGCAGUGGAAACUGGUGAGCUUGAGUAUGGUAGGGGUAGAGGGAAUUCCUAGUGUAGCGGUGAAAUGCGUAGAUAUUAGGAAGAACACCAGUGGCGAAGGCGCUCUACUGGGCCAUAACUGACACUGAUGGACGAAAGCUAGGGGAGCG